AUUGAACGCUGGCGGCAGGCCUAACACAUGCAAGUCGAACGGUAACAGGAAACAGCUUGCUGUUUCGCUGACGAGUGGCGGACGGGUGAGUAAUGUCUGGGAAACUGCCUGAUGGAGGGGGAUAACUACUGGAGACGGUAGCUAAUACCGCAUAACGUCGCAAGACCAAAGAGGGGGACCUUCGGGCCUCUUGCCAUCGGAUGUGCCCAGAUGGGAUUAGCUAGUAGGUGGGGUAACGGCUCACCUAGGCGACGAUCCCUAGCUGGUCUGAGAGGAUGACCAGCCACACUGGAACUGAGACACGGGCCAGACUCCUACGGGAGGCAGCAGUGGGGAAUAUUGCACAAUGGGCGCAAGCCUGAUGCAGCCAUGCCGCGUGUAUGAAGAAGGCCUUCGGGUUGUAAAGUACUUUCAGCGGGGAUGAAGGGAGUAAAGUUAAUACCUUUGCUCAUUGACGUUACCCGCAGAAGAAGCACCGGCUAACUCCGUG
RNAcentral lists this ribosomal RNA (490 nucleotides) under uncultured bacterium. RNAcentral describes it as "partial 16S ribosomal RNA". It matches the Rfam family "Bacterial small subunit ribosomal RNA", at positions 30 to 507 of the family's 1533-position model. The record is from RNAcentral.